Molecule: ribosomal RNA, 391 nt
Filed under: uncultured bacterium
Lineage: Bacteria
Description: bacterial SSU rRNA
Rfam family: Bacterial small subunit ribosomal RNA
Source: RNAcentral
GACGAACGCUGGCGGCGUGCUUAACACAUGCAAGUCGAGCGGUAAGGCCCUUUCGGGGGUACACGAGCGGCGAACGGGUGAGUAACACGUGGGUGACCUGCCCUCAGCUCUGGGAUAAGCCUGGGAAACCGGGUCUAAUACUGGAUAUGACUCCAUGACGCAUGUUGUGGGGUGGAAAGCCUUGUGCGGCUGAGGAUGGGCCCGCGGCCUAUCAGCUUGUUGGUGGGGUGANGGCCUACCAAGGCGACGACGGGUAGCCGGCCUGAGAGGGCGACCGGCCACACUGGGACUGAGACACGGGCCCAGACUCCUACGGGAGGGCAGCAGUGGGGAAUCUUGCGCAAUGGGCGAAAGCCCUGACGCAGCGACGCCGCGUGAGGGAUGACGGCCU